RNAcentral lists this transfer RNA (72 nucleotides) under Minisyncoccota bacterium. RNAcentral describes it as "tRNA-Arg". It matches the Rfam family "tRNA". Rfam says of the family: Transfer RNA (tRNA) molecules are approximately 80 nucleotides in length. Their secondary structure includes four short double-helical elements and three loops (D, anti-codon, and T loops). The record is from RNAcentral. Lineage: Bacteria; Bacillati; Minisyncoccota.
GCUCCUAUAGUUCAAGGGAUAGAACAGGGGUUUCCUAAACCUCAAAUCCAGGUUCGAGUCCUGGUAGGAGCA